AAUUUAAGCUGUUUUAUGCAGGUCUUGCAUUUAUUGGAAAGAAUGCAUGCUCAUCAAUAUCUAAUGUCAAAGAAAUGGCUUGUGCUACAGAAACCACUGCAGAUUUCAUACAGAUGUUUUCAUUCUCUGAGUCAUUACAGUAUGAUUUUCAUCUAAUAUUCUCUGAUAGUAAAAAGGGACCUUAAAGUGAGUGCAAUUUUCAUAUAAAUUGCAUAGGAACCUGAGCAUUAAUGAAAACUUUGGGCUUCAGAUAAUACAAAUCACUGGCUCAACCUCCACAUGUCUGAAUGAAAGGUAAUGCUGGUUUAAAUGGGUGCAGUUCCAGUGGCUUGGGUGUGGGAAGCACAGGAGGUGUUUGGCAACUAGAGGCAAAGUUGCUGGACAUGUAUAUGCGGUGUAGUUAAAAGGACUUCUCAGAUAUUUGGAGAAGAAAAUCAGUUACCAUUUGUCACAAUCCCUGCUUAAAUAACAUUUCAGAAACUUAAAUUAUGGUUGCUGAAGAGUUCUUCAUUAGUGGUCUUUGUACAGUAGCUAUAGGAAAGAGUUGGUUGCUAUAUAGUGUUUGGAAUAUAAUGUAUAAUGUACUUGCAAAAAAGGCAUUAAGGUAACUGCCAUAUUACAUGCUAAGCUAUGACCCUACCUCUUUUAUACCUUGCCAAAAUGGUACUUCUUAUUCAAAGUCUAGGAAGUAAUAGCAGAUAACAGUUCUAAGAACACAGUUUAUAGAAGAUUUAAAAGAAUUGAUCUACUUUGAAGUAAUACUAUCUAGAGGAAACAUAAAAUGAAAGUAUCUUUUGGUAGCAAAAAAAAGAUAAACCCCUGAUAAUCUAGUUAUCUCAAGAGACAUCAGAAGUUUUUAGGCAAACACUUUCAAUUUAACAUUGAUUUUAGAUUUAGCAUAUAUUUAUGAAAUUCAGAGCUGGGUUUGAAGAAUUUGAAGUUAGAUGUCAUUGUUUCAAUAGUUUUUGGAAUGUUCGAGUAAGGUAAAAUUAAAAAGGAGGAGCUGCAGUGAAAUGUCUGGAGUCCUCACAUAUUAAUGCCUGCCCCCACCACAAAAUGCCUAUGGAAUAAAGCUACUUCAAGUCAAUUCAAUUUAGUCUCUUCUGCUAAGGAUUUACCUAUAAAUCCUUACUUUUGCCAUAAUAUUCAGUAUUAUUUUAUUUGUUGUUGACCCUUUCUUUUGUAAUCCACCUUCCUCUGAGCAAAUUCAGCCACAGUCAAAAUUGUCGGUGAGUCUGCUGUGCAAUAUGCAGAAAUAAUGCCUUAAUCUGAUGUUCCCACUGUGACAAUGGGACACUCUUACGCACGUUCAAAUUUUUUAUGAUUUUUUUUUUUUUUUUCCUUCAGUUUUAUCUCAUGGGCUUUGUGUUUGCUUAAACUCACAGCUUUUUUUUUUUUUUCUUUGCCUAACUAGGAUUUUCAAAAUAAAUGCAAAUCCUUUCAUAUUAACAUUAAUAGAUAAACUGAGCUGAUUGAAGUUAUUUUUGCCAAUAUUUUUUUUUAAGGAAAAUCAUUGUAGAAUUUGCAAUUUGAUUGCUCUUGAUGGUGAUUGGCAGAAAUAGACCUUUCUUGGCUAAUAUAAAAGAUGUUAUAGAAAGAAAUGGCAAAUGUAAAAUUGUACUUCAGUUUAAAAUUUAAAGUUUAUAUUGAUGAAGUUUUUAGUGUGUUUGAAUUUAGCUUUCAUUAUAUAACAUAGUGUUGAAUUACAUUUCUCAAAGGGGUUCCCUAUUCCUCCGAAUACUGUUGUGUACCUCCUACUGUCUUCACCGAGCAUAUACGUCUAAAUCUUGGUGGAACAUUAAUAUCUGGGGGGUUUUUUAGGUUUUACUAAUUUACGUCAGUAUUUCAGGUGUUAUAUUUCCAGGAGAAGGUAAUUGUUGCCCAUACACCAACACUCCAGCUGCAUUGUUUAAAAGAAAUGUGAAAGUAGAUUUGAAAGUCACAGAAAAUUUCUAAUAGACUUUGACCAUAUAGGAUGGAUGAAGCCAAGUAAUAGUCCUCAAGAAUUUCUGAAUAUGAAUAGACCCAUAUUAGCACUUACCAGCAUUGUUCAAGGAUUUACAACUAGAUUACAUAUUUGAACAAUUAUGAGAACAUGUGUCGUAGGCUUUUAAGGUAUUAUGGUAGUUUGUAAGAAAUCUGAAGUGUUUUGGAAAGGCCAGGUUAUCUGACUAACUCAUAUUUUAAUAAGAAAUUUCACAUGAGCUACGUAUAAACAUAGUUUCUAAUGCUCUGGUAAACAAGUACAGUGUUAUGUAGAAGAAAUUGCGGUGUUCGGAACACGGAGAAAUAGAACCAAUCCAAGUUAUCAGUCUGUAUGUUGUUAUGCUGGAAUGCUGUACCUUGCUACAGUAUGGAUUGUACGCAGCAAGAUGUUUUCCAGUAAUUAAAGGCAUUAGGCUUCUAAGAUGCUUAGAUCUAAACACUGUUGUUGUUACAGUUAUACGAGGUAGGAGAUAACUUAAAUGGCAUAUUUUCACUUUCCAGUAAACUUUUUUUUUGCUUUACAUUGUUUAGAAAUAGAGAUUUAAAUGUAUUUAACUGUUACAAAUGUCUCAGCCAAGUAAGGACUGAGUUUCUAAAUGAUAUUGGAAGAUGGGAUUUGUCUAAAUGGGUAAGUUUUCAAUUUUAUAAGCUGGAAUAGAUAUGUCAUGAAAUACAAAACUGAAUUUAUUUCAUCUGUGUCAUUCAAGCACACUUAUUUUGCCAUAGAAAUACUGCAUUUAUAUUUUGCGCAUUGCUAGAACUACCUGUGAUAAAUUUAUGGUUCUCUAGUAUCAUGAUUUGGUUUAAUUUUUAUCAUAUAGAACCAAAAUUUCAUUGCCAAUUUUUCUAUUUAAAGGCUUGUUAAUCUGCAUUGAUUUCUUAGUUUGGUAUGGAUUCUGAGCUGAAAAAUACAGUACAUCACUGACUGUUCUAUCACGUGACAGCGACUGAUAAAGCAUCCGUGCAGAAAGUGUCAGAAAAGGUUAAUAUUUAUUGAUUUUAUGGCACUACAACCAGUGUAGUUUUGCCAUCAAAGAUGUAUGGCCACCAGCAAUGGAAUCUGUAAAAUUGCAGGUUGGACGCUAGUUUUUAUUAUAACCUAUGCCAGUAUUCUGGCCUUAAAAAAUGACAGAUAUUUAAUUUAAGACAAAAGGCUUUGAAUGUGCAGCUACUGUAUACCUGCAAUGGGAAUUUAGUAUUCUAAAAUGAAACCCAAUCACAGAGCUUUAAAGUUUAAGAGGGGGGAAAACACACAACCUUGCAUUGCAAAUGACAAUCACAUUUAGCCUUUUCAUCCACUUAACUAUGUGCUAUUGAUCUGCAGAAGGUGCCCAAGCAAGUGAUAACUGAAAUUACGAGCAAUAAAGGGCUUGCUUCUUCAAACAAAAAAGUAUAUAAUUAGUAGGAGUGGAGGAGGGGGCAGAGCCUGUGUUUGGUUUUAAAGGCAUUUAAACAAGAUGGACUGAGUGCAACAGCAGUGUUUAAGUGUACACAACGAGAAAUCUGGUUGCCUUGAAGCAUAAAUCCAUGGUCUGGUUGCAGCUUGUGUGUAAAAAUUAGGCGUGCACCCCAGCCGUUAACAUUUAUCUCCAUCAGGGUUUGCCUGACAGAAAGACAAUCUGUUGGUUUGCCUACAUCAACUAGGGAGAGGAAAAUCCUGUGAAGCUUUGGUUCUUCUAAAUGCAUCCGUAGUUUGCAUUUUUUUUCUAUUUUUCAUUUAGCUGACUCUUGAUAUCAACUUUUUCGUAACUGAUAGUUCUAUUGACAUUUCCGGAAGGUUUUUAAGAAGAUGGAAGAAUGCUUGCUGAAGUGCUGAAAAUUACCCUACUAAAAUAUAUAUAGUCACGCAUAGACCUUAUACUAGCAGGUUUGUAAGAAAUAGUAGCAGGAUCCAUCCCCAGAUUUUAAGAAUCCCUGUUUCUCUAAUAUUUAUGACAGAAUAGCUAUUUUUAUGGUACAGUUUUGCAUGCAAAUUUUUUUCCCCUACUUUCUUUAAGGUUCAGUGUCAGGAACAACAGUAACAACGGGUUUGUUUUUUGAGCAAAACCCAAUGAUAAUUCAGCUGUUAAGAAACCCUUAUUCUAACCUGAAGAGUAGAAUAAAAUGCAUGGCAUACCGUAAACAUGCUUUUAGAUCGCCUCUUCCCUGUGCUGCAUUUUUCUGUUGAGCUUUGUACCACCAGUUUGUCUGGGUUCUUUUUCCCCAGACAGCUUACCCAUUUUAUUGUGCUCAUUUAGAGGAAAGAAAAACUGUUUGUCUCCUUGAAAGGCAAGAGAAAAGUGAGUGGAAACCUACUUUUAUAGCUAAAAUACCAUUAUAAUAUAUGGCAACUAAAAUUCUAAAAUUGAAAGAGAAGAUACAAGAGAAAAUCUUAAAUCAUUUUUUAAAGCCACUGACAGUUUGAAAUAUUCCCAUGAAGAUUUCUAUUUUUUGUCUUCCUUCCUUGAGCUUAGUAAAAUGUGAUUUUUAAAAUGAUUGUUACAAUAACUUGUUUAAUUUCAAUAACUCAAAUAAGAUCCAUUCCUCAUAUAACUCCACCUUUUUUAUUUUAAUGACUGUGUCAUUAAUCUAACAUUUUCCAUUUUUAUUGUGCUUCAUUUUUUCCCCCUUCUGAUCACUUUAAAUUAUGACUAUGAAAUGGCACGCAUUCAGCAGCGGCAUGCUCUGGCUGCAUUUUUACAUCCCUUUACCCCUUUAUUCUCAUGUUUUUAACUUUCAGUACAGCCAGUUGCCAACAACAUCAUGGCUCUAUGACUUCCAGGCUACAGCUCUGGGUGGCAGCUUAGUGACAGAAGGUUUUUCAAACACUUUAUUUCAUUUUUUUUAUAUUAAAUAUCACUGCUAUGAAUAAUUUGUUGUACUUUGCAACACCUACACCCCAAAAUUGGUUAUUACCUUAGGUAAUGGUUGAUAUGUUGUGAGCUGAUUUUAAGAAAUGAUUUUGGGGAACUAUUAAUUCAUAAUGUAAUUCAUCUUUAGAGCCCAGCAAUACACAACCAAAGCCAUAUACUUACUUUAGAUUGUGUAACCAUGAGAAGAUACCAUUGCUUAAAUAAUUAUCAUUCAUUGAGUAAAUAAAAUUAAUUUAUUAUUAACUUUGCCUACACAAAUUUGAUAUAAAAAUAAGGGAUAAGGAAGAAAAGAGUUAUUUUGAGACUGCAGCUCACUGAAUGAUUACACGUGCUAAUGUGCCCUCCUUGUGCCUAUGUGAAAUGGCAAAGAAAAUUAGGAGCCCAGAAAUUUCUUAAAAUUCAAAUUCAACUUGUAAUCCCCAGGUUUUUUGAUUGAUCUUCAGAUACAGGAUAUGAAAUGGUCCAUCAGGUUAGGAUCAAUAUUCAUCUAUCGUAACACUGCCUUAAGCCCCUCUGUACAUACGUUGUGCAUGGUACCAGUAGUGCUGCAGAAUCACUGUGUGUCUGCAACUUCCAAGAUAAAGUGCAGGACAAAAGGUAGUAUCUGCUUAUAUUUCAUUAAGAAAAAGUAACCAUGAGCUAGGAUUUGUUGUAUUUCAGAUCUGAGUCAAGCUAUAAAAACAAAACAAUGCUAUUGAAAUCACCAUACCUCUGUUUAUUUAAAAAAAAAAAAAAAAGUAGCAGAUUAUUUUAUAAAUAACCAGCAGUGUAGCUCUACCUGGAGCAUGAAAAUGCUUUGGUGAUCAUUAGUGUUACAGUGUCACUGCCAUUUGUGGAUAGAUUUUGAGGCAAGUCUGACUUGCAGGCACCUGCAUGUCAGCUCUUCCUGCCGUUGGUCCAAAUCGGCUCAAUUUGGGAACCCAUUUCACCAUGCUAGUGGAGGCUGAAUCCAGGUUAUUAAAACCAGAGCCUGUGAACUUCAAAGGAGCAGUGCUGAGGGGCUGGCCUGGACUAAUCAUCCCCAGAGAAGCUGGGAACAGUAUUGCAUUAGUGUAGUUACAUGUCUCCUGCAUCCAAGAGGGUUUGCCUCUGGCUGAGCCAUCAUGCAGCAGGGAAGUGAGGGGUCUGAGGGCCUCUGUGCUUUGAAGGAGAGACUGUUCACGGGAAGUGAUUUGCUGAAACCUCCAAAGUAUUAUUCAAUUAUUAGAUUGGGGAAAAAAAGUACCUUCUCUGGAAUGCCAAGAUUGCAAGAGGUAGUUGUGACGAUGCAGGGUGGGAAACGAACGGAAGUCUUUCCAAUCCCACACGGUCCUGCUCACUGCUCUUAAGCCUGCAUAGUCUGUGUCUCUUAUGCAGAGAUGUGCAAAAUCCCUCAAAUGGGGCAUAAGGAUGCCUUGCUGUUAGAUAUAUAUUGCAUCUGCCCUCACAGACCUGUAGGAUAUGUAUGCUCCGACAUUUAAUUCUUAACAAAUCUUUGUUGUUAUUUUCUUUAGUUAAUCAAUUACAUUUCCAUUUUAUCCACUGGUUUUUUUGAGUGUUUCUUGCUAUAAUCAUGAAAUAAUUUACUCAGCCUUUCUUGAUCUGUCUUGCUAAAGUUAUAAAUUUGAUUGCAUUCCUAUAUUGACUGGAAUGUUACAGAGCAGUUAGCUUUUAUUGGUUUUGUAGUGUAAAAUAUGUGAUUUUAUUGUUGAUUUUUAUAUCUUGAUAUAUAUGAAAGAUUUAAUCUCUCAUUAGAAUUUUGAACUAUCUUAUGAACUAUCUUUUGAACUAUCUUCAGGAUAAGAUUUAUCUGCAGUGCUAAGUACACAUUUUAAAAUGCUGAUUAAUGAGCCUGUAAUUCAUCUUAAAAGUUGGAUUUGGGGUUUUUGAUACAACCUGGAAUGAAGGGUAAUAAGCAAGCAUAAUUUCUGUUGCAGUAUUUUUUUUAUUGAGACACUCAUAUGAGUUGCAAUAUCCAUCCUGCCCUUUCCUAUUGCUUAAAGAAGGAAAGAGCAGCAAUAAUUGGUACUUAAGAAUAUUUCCUUCAAUUUAUAUCUAACUUAUUGUUAAUGAGAUCUCACCACAGUUAAGAUGGGAUAUGCAUGGGCCAGGUGAUGCGUUCUGGUUCCCCUCGUGCCAUCAUCUUUACCUUUCUCAACAGUGCAGUGCAGUCAAGGCAGUAGUCUUAUGGGUAAUGUUUAAAUUAUUGACUAGUCAGGCUAAUAUGCAAACAUGAAAUAUUAAAACAUCACUGGCAAUUUGGGAAUUUUGACCCAUACAACCAGCUUUUAUUUUUGCUGAUGAUGAGCAACUGCAAUCAGUGUUCUGAGGUUUCAAACUAUCAUUUAUGUUCUUAGAGUGGAAGCAAGGUUACUGGUAAAAGUAUGCUUUAUUCCCUUUUGAGUACCAUUUGGGACAGAGAAAAAAUUGGUACAGGUGCUAAAGAGCUGGUUAUAUUUCUCAAAGAAAACAGUUGUUAAUAAAUGCAAUUCAUAAACUAAUCUACAGAUAAACUAAUUCCUUGAAAUUUCAUUGUGAAGUUAAAAAAAAAAAAA
This 7372-nucleotide long non-coding RNA is filed under the name Strigops habroptila (Kakapo). RNAcentral describes it as "lncRNA (ENSSHBG00005002213.1)". Lineage: Eukaryota; Metazoa; Chordata; Aves; Psittaciformes; Psittacidae. The record is from RNAcentral.